UACGUAGGGAGCGAGCGUUAUCCGGAUUUAUUGGGCGUAAAGGGUGCGUAGGCGGCUUAUUAAGUAUGAAAUUAAAUCCCGGGGCUUAACUCCGGUCCGUUUUAUAAACUGGUAAGCUUGAGUAUGGAAGAGGUAAACGGAAUUUCUAGUGUAGCGGUGGAAUGCGUAGAUAUUAGAAGGAACACCAGUGGCGAAGGCGGUUUACUGGGCCAUUACUGACGCUGAGGCACGAAAGCGAGGGGAGCAAAUA
RNAcentral lists this ribosomal RNA (250 nucleotides) under uncultured prokaryote. RNAcentral's name for it is "partial 16S ribosomal RNA". It matches the Rfam family "Bacterial small subunit ribosomal RNA", at positions 524 to 774 of the family's 1533-position model. The record is from RNAcentral.